Molecule: long non-coding RNA, 1985 nt
Organism: Lolium rigidum
Lineage: Eukaryota; Viridiplantae; Streptophyta; Magnoliopsida; Poales; Poaceae
Exons: 3
Source: RefSeq, a predicted model, not a curated record
UUUACGCCUUCCAUGCUCAUCGAUGGGUUUUCAUCUGCUGAUGAUAUCGCAUGCUUCUUACUAUUUGCAUAGAAUGCUUCAUUUCGAAGACCUAGCAAGGCAUGCCUUUCUCCAGGUGUGACAUGUUUUCUCCGUGACUUAUUACUAACAUCCAUGUCAGGCGUCACCUCCCCUGACAUUUGCUAUGCAAUAGGUUCGAUAUAUAUAGGUGUUCCACUGAAAUCGGGGAUAUGCCAAUCACAUGUGGGUAUGAAGCCUUGAGUAUCAGGAGUAUGAAUAACCCCAGGGGUCCAACAUGGGUUCUCCAUGGCUAUGGAUUCUUUACUCAGACUGUUGCUUCGUAACUCUCGGAGAGCUUUAUUACCACGCUUUUUCUUAGGACUCAUAUCGGCAUAACGGAGCCUAUCCCUUGCACGCAGUUUUUCAAUGUUCUCUGAUAACAUGAAUAAUAAAAUGCUUGUAAGCACGAGUGCAUGUAGCUAUGAAGAAAUCAUCAAUAACAAAUCGCUUACCUGAUAAUGAUCUCUUUUGUUGAUAAGUUGCAUUUCUUCUUGCUAGUAGUUCAUUUUUACCAUCGGUAUUCAUUUGUGCAUAUCUCUCCCUUUCCCGCUCCCUUUUCUUCUCCGUGCAAUCAACAACGGGUGGCUGAAUGCGGGAUGACGUGGGUUCAUUACUACCGCAGUUCUCCAUGUUAGCUAGAAUAAGCAAACCACAUUAAUAAUAAGCAAUAUAUUUUUUUUUAUAUCAUUCUAUAUGGCAAAGCAACUUCACACAGUAAACAUGAAUAAGUUGCAAUCAUACCAGUAGGGAUGAUUGUUUGCCCUUGAAAUGGCAUAUGAAUUGACUGCCUCUUAUAGUUGUCAUUUCUUCUUAGCCAUUCAUCAUCUUCUGAAGGAACUUCAGUUUCCUUGUUCGCUAAAGGAACUUCAUUUUCCUUGUUAACUGAGUUUGAUGAUUUUCGUUUUUGAACAGAUUCACGUUGUUUUUUCAGAAAGUUUUCUUUUUUUGUGCUAUCCAUAUGUGCAUAUCGCUCCCUAGCUUGUUGCCUCCUCCGCUCCUUUGGACAUAUGGGUGUUGCGUGAACACUCAAUGAAGUGGGUCCAUCAGUACAACUAUUAUAGGUGUCAACAUUUUCUACACAGAAAAAUAUCAUAUAUGUAGCUACAUUAGAUAUGAACUAUUAGAUAGUUGCACUAUUUUUUUUGUAGAGAAAUUAGGUGCCUACAUACCAGUCACGAGACUCUGUUGCCCCUGGUAUGCCUCAUUUUCAGCAGCUACAACAUUUUCUAUGUUUGUAGCAGUGUCUCCUUAUCAAAACAAAAGGAGCGUGUGAUUUAGUUGCAUUAUAUACAUGAAUUAAACAUAGGAGCUAUAAAUUGCAAAAACCCAACAUGUGGUUUAGUGCACCUUUAACAGCGGGUGUGCUUUCUAGUUGAGUGAGUGCAGAUGGACCUCCACUUGACUCUUGCGUGCCUGUAACAGAUUGUGUGCUUUGUAGUUUAGCUUUCUUCCGCUGAUAGGAUUCACGACGCUUCUUAAGUAGCUCCUCUUUCUUUUGUGGAUCCAUCAGUGCAUAUAUCUGUCGACGUUGUCUAUUGCGUUCUUUCCCAUCUAUAGGUUCCCCUCCAUUACUGGUGUCCGCGACACCUAAUAAAAUAAACAAUGUAAUCAGUUGUUGAGCAUUGGUUGAUUGACUUACACAUUAUAUAUCAUUGUAGUUACUUGUGGUGAUGCUGUUGGACAAGUCUUUGAACGGACUACGUUCACUCGAUCGUUUCGACGGAUCCAUCUGCAAGUUAGACGGAGGAAACAUGAAUGAUUCGUCGAACUUACCAGAGAUCAAAUCGAUAUGUCGACGGGACCUUCGAAAUUUCCACUUGCAUAUGUCUUGGUUUGCUGGCCGUGCUAAUUGUCUGGGAAAGUAGAACAAAAUCUGGAUAUAUCUAAAGCUUGCAAUGUGAUUUGUUUCGCUGGAAGGUAAUAUG